Dicentrarchus labrax (European seabass) is the source of this 2569-nucleotide long non-coding RNA. RefSeq lists it as uncharacterized. NCBI's taxonomy places the organism in Eukaryota, Metazoa, Chordata, Actinopteri, Moronidae. The transcript has 4 exons. The record is from RefSeq and is a predicted model, not a curated record.
GUGUCAAAGACUCCAAGCCCUCACUGGCGCUUCAAAAUAACGGAGCUAACAUCAUCUCAGAGCAGCAGUGCGCAUGGGGAUGAGCCUCCACCAAGGCAUCGGUACCGAAUGGAGCAAGACGCACCAAAACACUGCUCUGGAUGAACGUAACGUGUUCAUGUGUUUACUGUUCGCAGCAACCAAAGGACCCCCGCCCCCUUCCUUCUUCUGAAACAUCUUCCUCCUCCUUUUCUUCCCCACGUCACUCAGGAACCGAACCUGCAGCUCAGGUCCAGGCUGCCGCCUGCAACCGGACACGUUCCCGGUUUCACCGUGGAGUCACCGCGACAUCAUGACCUCGGUUCUCUCCCAGGGUGGCUCAGUUUGAGGACUGGAGUCUGCUCAUCGUCACAGCUGCGACGACCCUCCUCCGUGCACGAGGGCGGCUUUGCACUCCACCACAACCGGAUCUGAUGUUGGCGGAGAUGAUCGCCGAGGGAGUCCCAUCUCACAACCACCUUCUCCUCGCGCCUCCAGAAGACCUCAUAACACCUGGAGCUUCACCCUGGUGGGUGACAGCGACCCGAUGGCAGCCGGUUUAUUACCGAAGAGAAGGCAGGAGAAGGAGGAGUGCGGCUGAUCCUCAGAGUAAGGAGGGAUGUCAUUCGGUUCCGAUCCAAAACAGUCGCAGGGACAGCCGCAGCGGAGGAGGACGGCCUGGUCGGGGGACAGCGGACAGAACCGGGACAAGGUAGGAAAGAGAGAAUGAGAAGGAGGAGAUGGAGGGAGGAUGACAGGAUGUGCAGAGAAGGGAAAAAAAAUGAAAGGCAGGAAAGAUUAAAAGAAGAAUGAGGGAGGGAAUGAAGGAUGUUGAGCGGAGGCAAUAAAGGGAGUGAGGAAAGGAUGAAGGAUAUAAAGCAGGAAAGAAGCGGGGGAUGAGUGUUAAAAGAGAGAGCAGGGAUAGAAAAAGAAAGGAUUGAAGAAAACAAAAGGGGAGGAGACUCAAAAACAACAGAUGGAGGUGGACUCGGUGUAGCCAAGCAGAAACAGGAAAGAAGAAGAAGAAGAGGAGGCAGUAAAGUCAGAGAGCUCGGCCAUGGCUUCAGCAGCCGGAGGGGGGAGGCUGUUUGGUCUGGAGGCGAGACAAGAAGAUGAGCCCGGUGGAAGGCGCCCGGUCCCGGCGGCGGACUGCCCGGCCGUCGGCACUCGACUGUCGGCCCGAGCCGACAGGAAGGAGCGCUGUCCUUACAGCAGGCAGCAGACCCUGGAGCAGUAGAACGAGUUCCUCUGCAGCAUGUACCUGAGCCGACAGCGCCACCUGGAGACCAGCAGGAGCGUCGACCUGAGCGACCUGCAGGUGAAGAACCGGAGGAUGAGGAUGAGGAAGCAGCAUGCGCGCUAACCGGAGCAGCGAGACCCUCACCUCAGCACCCGAUGGACUGAUGGAGGAGAGGACCUUCCGGCUCGCACUGCAUCGCGCUGGAAAACACAGAGAGGAUGAGGAAGACGAGGGUGUGUGUAAUGUCAGCCCUAUGUAGCUGCAGCUUCACACACAGGGCUCGAGUUACAGCGCCGGCCGGCUGGCAUCAGAUCAGUCAGUUUAAAUCAAAUGUUACCACCUAAACUUCUUAUAUCCGCCCUGGUGUUAUUUCUAGUUGAGGACAAAGUGGAGUGAGGACAGUUUAACGGGACAUCCUUGUGAUAAAUUAUCAUGGGAAUCAGAAUAUGAGCGUGUGGAGAUCCUGGCUGCAGAUGACAAUCGGCUCACUUUGGCGGAUUUCUCUCUUUUCAUCUAACAUCUUACAUCUAAUGUGGACUCUUGCUUUGGACUGUUGUGGCCCGCAUUGAGGAUUCAAGUCCGAGCCAACGAACCGCACACAGACAUGAAUGGAGGAGGAGACGGCCUCAGAGGAGAGUGUAGGCUGGAUAUAUAUUAGGGGGCAACUUGGACUCAGUCUGCCUGUCUUCAUCUAAUGGGAUCCUCGACUAGGAAACCAUCCCCUGAAAUUAUUCCUAAAUUAAAUUCUUCUAUUCUACUGACCUCGGGCCGUCCCUGCUUCCUCACAGAGCUCUUGGUGAAUCAGCUCCAGAGGUUUUCCAAACUUCUUUUCGCAUCGGGGUCACACAGUUUGAUAUUCAUUAAGUCAAGCAGAAACCUGGUGCUGAAGGGAUUUUACUUGUUAGAUAUGAUUUACUGCUGCAGUCUGACCUCCUGCUGCUGGAUUCAGUCACAUGCACUCUAAUCAUUUGAUUAUAACCAGAGGACGGCAAUACUUCCAGUCUUGCAACUGUCGCAUAAAAACCUUAACCGAGUUAUUGUACUAGCGUGACGAUUCAACUGUAAUUCAAUUAACAUGGAUUUGCAUUUGUCAAUCUUUCAUAUGACUCCUGGCAUAUAUAAAACAGUCUGCGUUCUUUAGGUGUUCUUAUUCUGUGCCACAAAUGUGAACUGGAUGCAAAGCAAUGGAAAGUUUUGGGUGGUUACAGUGAAACUGAUAAAAUAAUCUGACACUGCAAGUAAUAGAGUUUGUGCUAAUGUGUUCUGUAAAGUCAUAAACUAGAAACAAUAAAAUGCAACAAAAUUCCCUCA